This 825-nucleotide ribosomal RNA is filed under the name Stomiopeltis sp. stomlm-2007a. Its description in RNAcentral is "eukaryotic LSU rRNA". It matches the Rfam family "Eukaryotic large subunit ribosomal RNA", at positions 84 to 943 of the family's 3401-position model. The record is from RNAcentral. Lineage: Eukaryota; Fungi; Ascomycota; Dothideomycetes; Capnodiales.
UAACGGCGAGUGAAGCGGCAACAGCUCAAAUUUGAAAUCUGGCGUCAGCCCGAGUUGUAAUUUGUAGAGGAUGCUUCGGGGCCGCGGCCGGUCUAAGUUCCUUGGAACAGGACGUCAGAGAGGGUGAGAAUCCCGUAUGUGACCGGCUAGCACCCCACACGUAGCUCCUUCGACGAGUCGAGUUGUUUGGGAAUGCAGCUCUAAAUGGGAGGUAAAUUUCUUCUAAAGCUAAAUACCGGCCAGAGACCGAUAGCGCACAAGUAGAGUGAUCGAAAGAUGAAAAGCACUUUGGAAAGAGAGUUAAACAGCACGUGAAAUUGUUGAAAGGGAAGCGCAUGCACCCAGACUUGUCGGCGGCGUUCCGCCGGUCUUCUGACCGGUCCACUCGCCGUCGGCAGGCCAGCAUCGUUUGGGGCCGCCGGACAAAGGCGUCGGGAAUGUGGCUCCUCGGAGUGUUAUAGCCCGACGCACAAUACGGCGCGCCGCGAGCGAGGUCCGCGCUUCGGCUAGGAUGCUGGCGUAAUGGGGGCAUGCGGCCCGUCUUGAAACACGGACCAAGGAGUCUACCAUCUAUGCGAGUGUUCGGGUGUCAAACCCCUACGCGCAAUGAAAGUGAACGGAGGUGGGAACGCAAGUGCACCAUCGACCGAUCCUGAUGUCUUCGGAUGGAUUUGAGUAAGAGCAUAGCUGGUGGGACCCGAAAGAUGGUGAUCUUUACUUGAAUAGGGUGAAGCCAGAGGAAACUCUGGUGGAGGCUCGCAGCGGUUCUGACGUGCAAAUCGAUCGUCAAAUUUGGGUAAAGGGGCGAAAGACUAAUCGAACCAU